UAGGGAAUCUUCGGCAAUGGGGGGAACCCUGACCGAGCAACGCCGCGUGAGUGAAGAAGGUUUUCGGAUCGUAAAGCUCUGUUGUUAAGGAAGAACGAGUGUGAGAAUGGAAAGUUCAUACUGUGACGGUACUUAACCAGAAAGGGACGGCUAACUACGUGCCAGCAGCCGCGGUAAUACGUAGGUCCCGAGCGUUGUCCGGAUUUAUUGGGCGUAAAGCGAGCGCAGGCGGUUAGAUAAGUCUGAAGUUAAAGGCAGUGGCUCAACCAUUGUAGGCUUUGGAAACUGUGUAACUUGAGUGCAGAAGGGGAGAGUGGAAUUCCUUGUGUAGCGGUGAAAUGCGUAGAUAUAUGGAGGAACACCGGUGGCGAAAGCGGCUCUCUGGUCUGUAACUGACGCUGAGGCUCGAAAGCGUGGGGAGCGAACAGG
RNAcentral lists this ribosomal RNA (429 nucleotides) under Bacteroidota bacterium. RNAcentral describes it as "Bacteroidetes bacterium partial 16S ribosomal RNA". It matches the Rfam family "Bacterial small subunit ribosomal RNA", at positions 355 to 776 of the family's 1533-position model. The record is from RNAcentral. Lineage: Bacteria; Pseudomonadati; Bacteroidota.